RNAcentral lists this ribosomal RNA (1470 nucleotides) under uncultured Bordetella sp. RNAcentral describes it as "partial 16S-23S ribosomal RNA intergenic spacer". It matches the Rfam family "Bacterial small subunit ribosomal RNA". The record is from RNAcentral. Lineage: Bacteria; Pseudomonadati; Pseudomonadota; Betaproteobacteria; Burkholderiales; Alcaligenaceae.
AGUUUGAUUCUGGCUCAGAUUGAACGCUGGCGGGAUGCUUUACACAUGCAAGUCGAACGGCAGCACGGACUUCGGUCUGGUGGCGAGUGGCGAACGGGUGAGUAAUGUAUCGGAACGUGCCUAGUAGCGGGGGAUAACCUGCAUAAGCGUAGCUAAUACCACAUACGCCCUUCGGGGGAAAAGCGGGGGACCUUCGGGCCUCGCACUAUUAGAGCGGCCGAUAUCGGAUUGGCUAGUUGGUGGGGUAACGGCUCACCAAGGGCGACGAUCCGUAGCUGGUUUGAGAGGACGACCAGCCACACUGGGACUGAGACACGGCCCAGACUCCUACGGGAGGCAGCAGUGGGGGAAUUUUGGACAAUGGGGAAACCCUGAUCCAGCCAUCCGCGUGUGCGAUGAAGGCCUUCGGGUUGUAAAGCACUUUUGGCAGAAAGAAACGGCACGGGAUAAUACCCCGUGCAACUGACGGCUACCUGCAGAAUAAGCACCGGCUAACUACGUGCCAGCAACCGCGGUAAUACGUAGGGUGCAAGCGUUAAUCAGGUUACUGGGCGUAAAGCGUGCGGGCGGUUCGGAAAGAAAGAUGUGAAAUCCCAGAGCUUAACUUUGGAACUGCAUUUUAACUACCGAGCUAGAGUGUGUCAGAGGAGGUGGAAUUCCGCUGUAGCAGUGAAAUGCGUAGAUAUGCGGAGGAACACCGAUGGCGAAACAGCCUCCUGGGAUAACACUGACGCUCAUGCGAAAGCGUGGGGAGCAAACAGGAUUGGAAUACCCUGGUAGUCCACGCCCUAAACGAUGUCAACUAGCUGUUGGGGCCUUCGGGCCUUGGUAGCGCAGCUAACGCGUGAAGUUGACCGCCUGGGGAGUACGGUCGCAAGAUUAAAACUCAAAGGAAUUGACGGGGACCCGCACAAGCGGUGGAUGAUGUGGAUUAAUUCGAUGCAACGCGAAAAACCUUACCUACCCUUGACAUGUCUGGAAUCCCGAAGAGAUUUGGGAGUGCUCGCAAGAGAACCGGAACACAGGUGCUGCAUGGCUGUCGUCAGCUAAUGCUGUCGUGAGAUGUUGGGUUAAGUCCGCAACGAGCGCAACCCUUGUCAUUGGUGCUACGAAAGGGCACUCUAAUGAGACUGCCGGUGACAAACCGGAGGAAGGUGGGGAUGACGUCAAGUCCUCAUGGCCCUUAUGGGUAGGGCUUCACGUCAUACAAUGGUCGGGACAGAGGGUCGCCAACCCGCGAGCCAAUCAGAAACCCGAUCGUAGUCCGGAUCGCAGUCUGCAACUCGACUGCGUGAAGUCGGAAUCGCUAGUAAUCGCGGAUCAGCAUGUCGCGGUGAAUACGUUCCCGGGUCUUGUACACACCGCCCGUCACACCAUGGGAGUGGGUUUUACCAAGUAGUUAGCCUAACCGUAAGGAGGGCGAUUACCACGGUAGGAUUCAUGACUGGGGGUGAAGUCGUAACAAGGUAG